Non-coding RNA from Miniopterus natalensis, 2457 nucleotides. The record is from RefSeq and is a predicted model, not a curated record. NCBI's taxonomy places the organism in Eukaryota, Metazoa, Chordata, Mammalia, Chiroptera, Miniopteridae.
UGGGGGGAAUGUCUUCUAUAUACAAAGGUAAAGAGAAUAAUAUUUUGAAUUAUUACAUAUCCAUAACCCAGCUUCAACGAAACUCAAGGCUGAUCUUGUCUGAGCUAUAUUACCAUACGCUCCCCCUCUGAGAUCAUUUUAAUCAAUUCCAUAACAUCAUAUAAUUUCACUUGCACAUAUUUCAGUAGGUAUCUCAAAAAGGUAAGGGUGAAUUUACCCCAGUUUAAUUAAAAGAAUUUUAGACACAUAAACAUUUAAAAAAAAAAUUAAGCACAUGCAUACUGUAUGUGAGCUCCAAAACAGAUUCAAGAAGUCAAAGCUGGAGACUUUUUUCCGGGUGUAAAAAUGAUUAGCAUGUAGGGAUUAUGCUGGAGACUGUUAUGUGUUCACCAAAACCUGUUUUCUCUUCUUCCUGGGCACACUGGUAAACUACAUUUGCCAAUAUCCUGUGCAUUGACGUGCAGCCAUGUGACCGAGUUCUGGCCAAAGGAGUGUGGGCGGGAGUGACGUGCGCCAUUUCCAUAUCUAGCCCAUGAAAGUGUCCUGUGCAUGAUUUCUCUCUUUUCACCUUGUCUGCUGGCUGGAUGUUUCUGCCAGGGUGGCCUUAGAUCAGUGAUCAGCCUGGAUCCCAGGAGCAGAGCCCCUACCCCAGCCUUACCUCUGCCCAGAACACCUUGGCUGGGCUAUUGUGUGACUGAGAGACAAACUUUUAAAACCAUGUGUUAAGACACCAAAAUUUUGAGGUUUGUUACAGGAGCUUACAUUACUCUCACAAAUAUAGGGGGUAAUGUUCUGAGAGGGAAGGGUGGCAAGUCUUUAGAGUGUCUGAUAGCAAAGCUUUUUGUCUUUGAGGGCUUUGAGGUCACUGUCACAGCUACUCAAUCCCAUGGUUGCUGUUGAAAUGGGAAAGCAGUCAAAGAAAAUACGAGAACAAAUGGGUGUGGCUGUGUUUUAAUAAAACUGUACACAAACGGGCUACUGGGCCAUGUGACUCAGUUUGCCGAUCUCUGUUCUAACAGACUGACGCAAGACACCACCUCGUCUUAGGUGCCAUAUACGAAGGAAUUACUGCAGAGUGGGGUUGGAUGGACUCCACCUACUAGCCAUGGAACAUCUUGGACAAGUUAUUUUACCCCCCUCGGUCUGCUUCCUCACCUCUAACUUGGAGCCAAGAAUGCCUACUCUGGGGCUGUUGUGAAGUUCAGAUAUUACUCCCACAGUAGGACAAGGUUGUUCUGAAUGGCUGUUUUCAAGUUUUAAUGAAGUGAAGACUGAAUAGAAUCAUCUUCUCUUCCAUAAGUCUUUUGAAUGGAACCUUUCCCUACAGUGGGAUGUGAGGUUGGUGCACGCAUAAAAGGCUACCUGUGCUAUUCCUGAGAAUUGCUGUCCAAACGAUAUGGAAAACAAGAAGAGUGUUUAUUCUUUUUUUCUGAACGGAAAGUUGUGUUUUCGCUUGACUUCAGUAGAAGAAACUUAACUAAAAUACGCUGUAGAAAGCAACCUGCUACAAUGGAAAAAUCUCUGUUACGGUAAACUGAGGACCUGGGUUUGGUUGCAGUUCUGCCACCGGUUAGUUAGCUGUGUUCCUCGGAGCAGUCAUUCAGCCUCCCUGGGCUUUUUCACCAGCCCUGUGUCAAUACCUGGAUGCCCAUCACGUUGCGUGUUAAUGCCUGGGCAGACAUCAAACCCUCAGUUUACCAUUUGAAUGACCUCAAGAAGAAACUGUUCCAUUAGCCGAGCCACUAGACAUCUAAAAAUUACCAUCUUGGAACCAUCCAAGGGAGAAAGAUGCAAGACUGAAUAUUCUCAAGAGUAGACUUUUUACCGAGUCUCAUGAUCUAUUGCGACAAAUUAUACAAGCUGGACACAGAACUGCAUCCUCAAAGUCUCCAGCAUCAUCAAGACACCUAUUACCAGGCCCCUUCCUAAUUGCAAGCGAGCCUGACGGGGAGGUUAUGUUCCAGCUCUUCGCUGUUCGGAGGACUCUCAAUGACUCUCACCGGGGGGAAUGGAUAGGCUGAGUGGGUUUUAAGUGGAAAAGGCCUCCGGAUGAAGAUGGAAAUACCUGCUGCAUUGACUGAGGACAGUAAGGUAAUUUACAGGCCAUGAAGGUGAACCCUUCCUUAUUCAAGUACGGCGAGGGAAACAGGGAGGCCCCACAAGACUUGGGAAUCAUGAACUACGUGUAAGAAGUCUUGCCACCUGAGCGCCCUGGUUGUGGUACCUGGUAGAGAGACCACGCAGAGACAGAGUUGUCCAAGGAGUCCCAGCUGCCCCAGCCUGCGCCUGUUUGAGAUGCCCCCAGAGUCAGCCGCCAGCGGACUGAAGAUACUCUAUCUGAUUCACUCUUAUUUCUCCAAGGACUAGUUCUGUUUCUAGUACAUAAUAGGUGCCAGAAUGUAGUUGUAGACUAAAUGAAUAAAAGUGAGUUUUUAAAUAAAAGGCAUAUGCAUUAUA